Molecule: long non-coding RNA, 2065 nt
Organism: Rhincodon typus (whale shark)
Lineage: Eukaryota; Metazoa; Chordata; Chondrichthyes; Orectolobiformes; Rhincodontidae
Exons: 3
Source: RefSeq, a predicted model, not a curated record
UUCCCUGCAUGACAGGAAGAGACAGGAACAUCUCAAUGCAUCACCACACAACAAUCUGCUACCUGCAUUUAUACAAACAGCAAUACAAUAGAUAUACAUAGAUUUCUAGGAUCCUAUUGUAACUCAGUUAGGUACAAACUGCCAGAAUAUCUUGCCAGGUUUUACCCUUAAACAAGUCACAAAUUUGUUGUAAACAGUUAUUUACUACUGGUAAUCUUUUCCUAUAUCAUAACCACUAACUGCUGACCCAUAGAUUCCUCCUGUACCGUCACACUCACUGAUCCAUACAAUUCUGCCUGCACUGACACUGACCAUAAGUUCCUCCUGUACUGUAAUUGUUAGAAUGUUUCAAGAGUUCCACCCACAUGAAAAGUAUUUCUUAUUUACCCACAGAUAAAGUUAUGAAUAGAAGGAUAAUGAAAUGACUUCAGUCGGUAAUCAUCUAAGGUUUAUAGCCUUAAAGACAUAGAAUAAAAUUUAUCUUCACUCAAUUUUUGGUGAAUCCAUGUGCAGGUAGUAGGGAUUAUAAAAUGUUUGUAGAUCCCCACAUCUCUCUUAGUACCAGGUUAUUCCACUGUGAGGAACCUCACGGCUUACCUGACUUCUGUGUAUGCACCUUCCAACAGACGGCACAACAAUCAGGAGCAGAAGUCCUUGUUGAUUUGUGUUCCCUGCUUUAGGAUUGGUGAGGUCACUGUAGAGCUGAGGUUUUCUUUUCCUAAAGCAUCUCCCUCUAGCCCUAGCUAGGCAAUUCUUUCAGCCUCAUUUAACUCCCCCAUGAAUUUGGCCCUUCCAUGGAAUUGCUGUUAACAGUGCUAACGUGCAGCCCAGAGCCAUUGUCUCCAAGCAUAAAUACCUUCUUCCCAUUAAAACAUUCUAAGCCUUCCUUUAAUUUCUGACAAUCAGUUGGCUUACUCUCAAGCUGACUGUAGAAAAGCUCACAUGAACUCCUUCAUUUUUUUCCCCUUCAAUUAAAGAUACAGUCCCAAAAUAUAACAAUCUUCUAAACUUCAUAAUUAUCAUUUAAAUAUUCUGUUUGACAUAUGCAGCUACAUUUCAGUGGAUAUGAGAAGGAUUUUUUUUUCUCUGUCGGAGGAUCAUGUGUCUUUGGAGCUCUCUUUCUUCAAAAGCACGGGAGAAGGGGAUCAUUGGAUAUUUUUAAGGUAGAGGUUGAUAAAACCUCGACUAAUUAGGGAGUCAGAAGGGUAAUAGGGUAAACAGGAAUAUGGAUUAACCAUCAUCUUAUCAAAUGGCAAUGCAAACUUGAGGGGCCGAAUGGCCUACUCUUGCUCCUAACGUAUAUGUUUUAAAUGUACGAGGGUGAAAUUAAAUAACAAAGAAUUUUUUUUUUCCAUUUGGGGCUGCCAUGCAGUUAAGGACUAAAUGCAAUACUGCAGAUGCACUGGGCCAACACAAACCAUUUUACCAUGUGAGGAACAUGGGCUCAAUUUCCCAAAGCACCAAUUAUGAAUCUCAAACAGCCUAUUCUGGGAGAACCUGGGAAGAGUGAAUUCAAAGGAAGCCACCUCUGACUGUUUGCUAGCACUUUAAAGCCACAAGACCUGCAGCAUAUCUCAGAAAACAGGGACACACGACACAUCUACUAUCCAUGCCAGAGACAGGAGUACUGUUUCACCACAGGUUAUCAAUAUAUAAACAACCUAACAUUGCACUGUUACAGCUUCCAGAAGCGGAAAUGACCAAAUACUGCGAGUGCUGGUGAUCAGAAAAUGGUGCUGGAAAAUCUCACAGAUCAGCAGCCUUUGUAAAGAGAGGAGGAUACAGCAUUCUAUCAGAACCCAUGAAAGGUACUCUGAGAACUUGUUCAACCCUUCCUCGUGUAAUCCCAGCAAUGGAAAAAUCUUGAAGAAGCGCUCCACUUGUGAUACUUACCACUUCUGAACCUCAUAGGAGCCGCUGGACACAAGAGGAAGCUGGAGAAGCUCACUUUAAUGACGCCAGGUUGUGGUGACAAAACAUUUUUCACUGUAAUUUCCAAAUACAUGUGACAAUAAAAUCAUUCAUUCAUUCCCAGACUAACAACACAAUGAUUGAAUUUGCAAUC